GCAGGGAGCGAACAAACCAAAAAAGAGUGAGCCGGCAGCGCACAGUGCGCGGCCGG
This 56-nucleotide non-coding RNA is filed under the name Mixta calida. Its description in RNAcentral is "DnaX ribosomal frameshifting element". It matches the Rfam family "DnaX ribosomal frameshifting element". From Rfam's summary of the family: This family represents a ribosomal frameshifting element found in the mRNA of the dnaX gene in E. coli. The record is from RNAcentral. Lineage: Bacteria; Pseudomonadati; Pseudomonadota; Gammaproteobacteria; Enterobacterales; Erwiniaceae.